UACGUAGGUGGCAAGCGUUUGUCCGGAAUUAUUGGGCGUAAAGCGCGCGCAGGCGGUUUCUUAAGUCUGAUGUGAAAGCCCCCGGCUCAACCGGGGAGGGUCAUUGGAAACUGGGAAACUUGAGUGCAGGAGAGAAGAGCGGAAUUCCACGUGUAGCGGUGAAAUGCGUAGAGAUGUGGAGGAACACCAGUGGCGAAGGCGGCUCUUUGGCCUGUAACUGACGCUGAGGCGCGAAAGCGUGGGGAGCAAACAGG
This 254-nucleotide ribosomal RNA is filed under the name uncultured bacterium. RNAcentral describes it as "partial 16S ribosomal RNA". It matches the Rfam family "Bacterial small subunit ribosomal RNA", at positions 524 to 776 of the family's 1533-position model. The record is from RNAcentral.